ACGGAAGGCAGCAGUGGGGAAUAUUGCACAAUGGGCGCAAGCCUGAUGCGGCGAUGCCGCGUGAGGGAAGAAGGUUUUCGGAUUGUAAACCUCUGUCAUCGGGGACGAUAAUGACUGUACCCGAGAAGGAAGCUCCGGCUAACUACGUGCCAGCAGCCGCGGUAAUACGUAGGGAGCGAGCGUUAUCCGGAAUUACUGGGUGUAAAGGGAGUGUAGGCGGGACUGUAAGUCAGAUGUGAAAUAUACUGGCUCAACUGGUAGACUGCAUUUGAAACUGCGGUUCUUGAGUGAAGUAGAGGUAAGCGGAAUUCCUAGUGCAGCGGUGAAAUGCGUAGAUAUUAGGAGGAACAUCAGUGGCGAAGGCGGCUUACUGGGCUUUAACUGACGCUGAGGCUCGAAAGCGUGGGGAGCAAACAGGAUUAGAUACCCUGGUA
This 434-nucleotide ribosomal RNA is filed under the name uncultured Ruminococcus sp. Its description in RNAcentral is "partial 16S ribosomal RNA". It matches the Rfam family "Bacterial small subunit ribosomal RNA", at positions 341 to 792 of the family's 1533-position model. Lineage: Bacteria; Bacillati; Bacillota; Clostridia; Eubacteriales; Oscillospiraceae. The record is from RNAcentral.